RNAcentral lists this long non-coding RNA (294 nucleotides) under Nicotiana benthamiana. Its description in RNAcentral is "long non-coding RNA (NBEN_LNC016019)". The record is from RNAcentral. Lineage: Eukaryota; Viridiplantae; Streptophyta; Magnoliopsida; Solanales; Solanaceae.
ACUAAGUAUAAACUUUGACAAUCGAUUGUUGGUCAUAGACAAUCGAUUGUUAAACCCAAUUUUCACAAGACGAGUUUAAAAAUUAUUUUGACAAAUAUGCAACUUAUUUCUUUGAAACCUAGUGAUGCAUGAUUUUAUGAAAAUCAUUUUGGGUGAGAGCCAAUAUUAGAAAUAAGUCGUUGAGUCAAGAUUACAAAUUAAGACCUACUCAACAGUUGAUUGCAUCUUCUAUUCUUGAACGCGUACUAUCCAUCUUGUACUUGGUCUGUUAUUGUUCUAUCACUGAUGCUUGUC